UACGUAGGGCGCAAGCGUUGUCCGGAAUUAUUGGGCGUAGAGAGCUCGUAGGCGGUUUGUCGCGUCUGCUGUGAAAACGCGAGGCUCAACCUCGCGCCUGCAGUGGGUACGGGCAGGCUGGAGUGCGGUAGGGGAGACUGGAAUUCCUGGUGUAGCGGUGGAAUGCGCAGAUAUCAGGAGGAACACCGAUGGCGAAGGCAGGUCUCUGGGCCGUUACUGACGCUGAGGAGCGAAAGCAUGGGGAGCGAAC
RNAcentral lists this ribosomal RNA (250 nucleotides) under uncultured Georgenia sp. RNAcentral describes it as "partial 16S ribosomal RNA". It matches the Rfam family "Bacterial small subunit ribosomal RNA", at positions 524 to 773 of the family's 1533-position model. Lineage: Bacteria; Bacillati; Actinomycetota; Actinomycetes; Allobogoriellales; Allobogoriellaceae. The record is from RNAcentral.